Molecule: ribosomal RNA, 523 nt
Filed under: uncultured bacterium
Lineage: Bacteria
Description: bacterial SSU rRNA
Rfam family: Bacterial small subunit ribosomal RNA
Source: RNAcentral
UCGAGGGGUAACGGAAGUAGCUUGCUACUAGACGACGACCGGCGCACGGGUGAGUAACGCGUAUGUAAUCUGCCUUGUACAGAGGGAUAGCCCAGAGAAAUUUGGAUUAAUACCUCAUAGUAUUACCGAAUCGCAUGAUUUGGUAAUUAAAGCUCCGGCGGUACAAGAUGAACAUGCGUGACAUUAGCUAGUUGGUAAGGUAACGGCUUACCAAAGCCACGAUGUCUAGGGGUUCUGAGAGGAUGAUCCCCCACACUGGUACUGAGACACGGACCAGACUCCUACGGGAGGCAGCAGUGAGGAAUAUUGGUCAAUGGACGCAAGUCUGAACCAGCCAUCCCGCGUGAAGGAUGACUGCCCUAUGGGUUGUAAACUUCUUUUAUAUGCAAAUAAACCUACUUUCGUGAAAGUAGCUGAAGGUAGCAUAUGAAUAAACACCGGCUAACUCCGUGCCAGCAGCCGCGGUAAUACGGAGGGUGUAAGCGUUAUCCGGAUUUAUUGGGUUUAAAGGGUACGUAGGCGG